This is a long non-coding RNA of Bombina bombina (fire-bellied toad), 232 nucleotides long. RefSeq lists it as uncharacterized. Lineage: Eukaryota; Metazoa; Chordata; Amphibia; Anura; Bombinatoridae. The record is from RefSeq and is a predicted model, not a curated record. The transcript has 4 exons.
AGGUGUAGACUAGUGACAAAUAUGAAGGAAGAACUUGAUGUUAAUGUACAAGAUAAAGAACGUUCAAAUGAAAGUGAAGUAUCUUCAGAUGUGAAAGAUGAAAUGAUUAACAGCGAUGACAAUUGCGAAACAGUGAGAAAUUGGGGAGCAACAUGCAGAAGAAGACUCCUAAGCUCCAACUCAGAUACUCUAUCAGAAGAUGAUCUUCCCUCUUUUAUGGAUCUAUCUCAAA